AACGCGAAGAACCUUACCUACUCUUGACAUCCAGAGAAUUCGCUAGAGAUAGCUUAGUGCCUUCGGGAACUCUGAGACAGGUGCUGCAUGGCUGUCGUCAGCUCGUGUUGUGAAAUGUUGGGUUAAGUCCCGCAACGAGCGCAACCCUUAUCCUUUGUUGCCAGCACGUGAUGGUGGGAACUCAAAGGAGACUGCCGGUGAUAAACCGGAGGAAGGUGGGGAUGACGUCAAGUCAUCAUGGCCCUUACGAGUAGGGCUACACACGUGCUACAAUGGCAUAUACAAAGAGAAGCGAACUCGCGAGAGCAAGCGGACCUCAUAAAGUAUGUCGUAGUCCGGAUUGGAGUCUGCAACUCGACUCCAUGAAGUCGGAAUCGCUAGUAAUCGUAGAUCAGAAUGCUACGGUGAAUACGUUCCCGGGCCUUGUA
This 428-nucleotide ribosomal RNA is filed under the name uncultured Gammaproteobacteria bacterium. RNAcentral describes it as "bacterial SSU rRNA". It matches the Rfam family "Bacterial small subunit ribosomal RNA", at positions 958 to 1385 of the family's 1533-position model. Lineage: Bacteria; Pseudomonadati; Pseudomonadota; Gammaproteobacteria. The record is from RNAcentral.